Molecule: ribosomal RNA, 432 nt
Filed under: uncultured Anaerovorax sp.
Lineage: Bacteria; Bacillati; Bacillota; Clostridia; Peptostreptococcales; Anaerovoracaceae
Description: partial 16S ribosomal RNA
Rfam family: Bacterial small subunit ribosomal RNA
Source: RNAcentral
ACGGAAGGCAGCAGUGGGGAAUAUUGCACAAUGGGGGAAACCCUGAUGCAGCAACGCCGCGUGAAGGAUGAAGGCUCUUGGGUCGUAAACCUCUGUUCUAAGGGAAGAUAAUGACGGUACCUUAGGAGCAAGUCCCGGCUAACUACGUGCCAGCAGCCGCGGUAAUACGUAGGGGGCAAGCGUUAUCCGGAAUUAUUGGGCGUAAAGAGUGCGUAGGUGGUUUCCUAAGCAUGGGGUUUAAGGCAAUGGCUUAACCAUUGUUCGCCCCAUGAACUGGGUUACUUGGGGGCUGGGGAGGAAGGCGGAAUUCCUAGUGUAGCGGUGAAAGGCGUAGAUAUUAGGAGGAACACCAGUGGCGAAGGCGGCUUUCUGGACAGUUACUAACACUGAGACACGAAAGUGUGGGAAGCAAACAGGAUAGAUACCCUGGUA